This 528-nucleotide ribosomal RNA is filed under the name uncultured bacterium. Its description in RNAcentral is "bacterial SSU rRNA". It matches the Rfam family "Bacterial small subunit ribosomal RNA", at positions 775 to 1299 of the family's 1533-position model. The record is from RNAcentral.
AGUCAAUAGAUACCCCGGUAGUCCACGCCGUAAACGAUGUCGACUUGGAGGUUGUGCCCUUGAGGCGUGGCUUCCGGAGCUAAACGCGUUAAGUCGACCGCCUGGGGAGUACGGCCGCAAGGUUAAAACUCAAAUGAAUUGACGGGGGCCCGCACAAGCGGUGGAGCAUGUGGUUUAAUUCGAUGCAACGCGAAGAACCUUACCUACUCUUGACAUCCNAGAGAACUUAGCAGAGAUGCUUUGGUGCCUUCGGGAACUCUGAGACAGGUGCUGCAUGGCUGUCGUCAGCUCGUGUUGUGAAAUGUUGGGUUAAGUCCCGCAACGAGCGCAACCCUUAUCCUUUGUUGCCAGCGGUUAGGCCGGGAACUCAAAGGAGACUGCCAGUGAUAAACUGGAGGAAGGUGGGGAUGACGUCAAGUCAUCAUGGCCCUUACGAGUAGGGCUACACACGUGCUACAAUGGCGCAUACAAAGAGAAGCGACCUCGCGAGAGCAAGCGGACCUCAUAAAGUGCGUCGUAGUCCGGAUU